UACUUAAUUAAAACGAAGCAGUACGACGUCUAGUGGCUGGUUUUGACGUAAUGUGAUUUCUUCCCUGUGCUCUGAAUGCCAAAGUGGGGAAAUUCAACCAAACACGGGUAAGCAGUGGGAGUUUCUAUGGCUCUCAUGUCGCAAACACAACAUCUUGUUUGCCUCGGUAGACCUUUCCAACUUCUUUGAUUCUGUUGCGCAAGACACUAU
RNAcentral lists this non-coding RNA (210 nucleotides) under Echinostoma caproni. Its description in RNAcentral is "Eukaryotic large subunit ribosomal RNA". It matches the Rfam family "Eukaryotic large subunit ribosomal RNA", at positions 2137 to 2280 of the family's 3401-position model. Lineage: Eukaryota; Metazoa; Platyhelminthes; Trematoda; Plagiorchiida; Echinostomatidae. The record is from Rfam by way of RNAcentral.